UACGUAGGGGCCAAGCGUUGUCCGGAUUUAUGGGGCGUAAAGAGCUCGUAGGCGGUUGGGCAAGUCAGCUGUGAAAUCUCCACGCUCAACGUGGAGGGGUCAGCUGAUACUGCUGUGACUCGAGUCCGGUAGGGGAGUGUGGAAUUCCCGGUGUAGCGGUGAAAUGCGCAGAUAUCGGGAGGAACACCAGUAGCGAAGGCGGCACUCUGGGCCGGUCCUGACGCUGAGGAGCGAAAGCGUGGGGAGCAAACAGG
This 254-nucleotide ribosomal RNA is filed under the name uncultured bacterium. RNAcentral describes it as "partial 16S ribosomal RNA". It matches the Rfam family "Bacterial small subunit ribosomal RNA", at positions 524 to 776 of the family's 1533-position model. The record is from RNAcentral.